CCCCAGCCAAUGGUCUGAAGCCCCAUCAGCCGGGCUGUCCCCGAGUGGCACUGCCGUGGCCUGUGGCCAUGGCGUGGGUUCUGUGCACCGAGGCAGGAAGUGUGCGCGGCCUCUUUCCUCGUGGGCUCGGCCCCCACGCGAGGUGACAAGGUUCCUUGGAGCCUGCCGUGGACAUGGGACCAGGCGAUAGGCCUGCCCCUGAGCGCGCUCAGAGGCUGCGAGCGCACCUUCCCCAUUGCCGGUCCGGGCGCGCGUCAGCGGCCACUGGACCCCUCGUCCCCCGUGCUCGGAAGACACCCUGGUGGCAUUGCUCAUUCAGCAGAAAACGCAUCCUAGGAAACCCCGCAUGUGGGACGCAGGACCCAGCAGCCUUCUCUGGAGACGCCAAAGGAGGGCUCGCAGCCCGGGCCCAAACCAAAGGUCCAGAAAGCAGACAUUCCCGGGCCGAGGCGCAGGGCAGGGGUGCGGCACAGGCCAGAGCAAGCCCUUCUGCUGGCUGUUGCCAUGACCUCCAGGGCCGGGAGGGGCCCAGGGAGGGAGCACCUGGUCCCUUGUCCACCCCGCAGAAGCUGCCCCACGUCACAGUAGGGGGUGUGGUGUUCACCUCUGCUCCAGAGCACCUCAGGGGUGUCCCCGUUGUGGGGUGCAGAGGGGAGGCCAGGCCUGGCAGUGGCUGUUUCCCACUAAGUGGGGAGGGAAGAAAGAUCCAGAAAGUCAUUUCUCUGGGAGUUUUUUUAACACUUGAUGGCACUCAUUCUGCCUUGAGGGAUAGCCGUCCUCGCUCAGGGAGCUCUGUCUCCUCCAGGGAGGGGGGAGGCCCCCUGCUGAUUUGCUGUGGUCCCAGGAAGGGGUGCUGGGCUCCAGGCUCCAGUGUGCCCGGGGCGUCGAGAUGUUCCCGAGUCCCAAGGCCUCCGUGUUUGGAGUGAUCACUCCUAAGAUGCCAAUGGUUCACUCACCGAUCACACGCGCGCACACACCUCCCGUGGCUGCAGUGAGGCCGCCUCCCCAUCCAUCCUGGUCUCACCUCCGCACCUGUGGGGCGGGUGUGGAGAAGCACUUGGAGAGAGUUCUGGAAUGUCGCUGGUGGUACAGGCCUGAGCAGGUUGCAGUGCUGGUCCUCCGUCAGCCCCCCAGUGCGGGACCCCGGAAGGCGCCCUCCUUUUACUCCUGGGACAAGGGUCACGCCCCCCGGGAUCAGCAGAGGCCGUGGCUUCUUCCGGGCGGCACCUCUGCUGCUGGCCAUCCCCUGCGUCCCCAGUAGCUUGUACAUAUGUGGUUCUGUGGCACACCCUGGCCCCUGCACUGUGACCAGCGUCCUGACGUGACAACUCUAGUCCCCUGACGUCCUAAACCCGAGUGUUAGGCUCUAGACUCCUGUACUGUGUGUGUGCACUUAAGAAUCUGUCCAAUUAAGAAAUAAAUGUGGCUCCUUAUGCAACAGCAGACCCACGGCGUCCCCUGUGGCUUUAUUUAUGUGUUAAGUCUGUUCGAUGCAGCCAAAACUGCCCCUGGGGUCGGAUGUCCGGCCGUGUCCAGAGAGCAGCCACUUCCCACCCUGGUGAGGCAGGGAGGGAAGAGAGGCUGGGGGGUGGGUGAGGGACAAGAUGGCGUUCGUCAUGGGCGCGCCCACCCCCUACCCGCAGCGCCUGCCCCACCUGCCUGCAAAGCUCACGGUCCUUGGGCUGUUCUGUAGGGUCGGCGUCCCCCCAAUACCGAAACCGGACAGUAUUACGAGAUGUCGGAACUACAGACCAGUGUUUCUGCAACACAGAAAACCAGUACGUUCGGUAACGCGUUGACAAACCAAACGCACUACCGAAAAGGAUCCUGCCUGGUGAUCAGGCGCCGUGCAUCUUGGGAACGCAGGGUCGGUUCAAAACCCGAUCAGCGCGAUUCACCAGAUUAAACCAGCAAAAGAAAAAUCACUCCGGACGCACAAAAAGCAUUUGACCAAAUUUAGCGUCCGUUGCUAACUGCGCCUUUACACGGAUGGUAACGUCCUCCACCCGACCAGGCACUUCAGCCCACAGCCGACGCCAUGCUUGCGGGCAGAGUGAGCGGGGGCCAGGCAGGGUCUGAGCUCCCCCAGCACCCCGACGGGAGGCCGCCAGACCCAGCCGUGCGACCACCCGCUGCGGUCACGGCCCGUCGUCCUCGAGAACGCAGGGUGAGGGGGGACUGAGCCCCUCCGGCCCCCGGCUGCACCCCUGCCCACGGCAUGCGGUGCGCUGGCCUGCCUCGCUGGGGUUCGGUUUUAGCUCAACGGUAAAAUUACGGGCACCUGCGUGGCUCAGGCGGUUAAGCAUCUCCGCUCAGGUUAUGAUUCACAGCUCGUGAGCUGACAGCCCUUCUUCUCUCUCAAAAACAAAU
Molecule: long non-coding RNA, 2370 nt
Organism: Suricata suricatta (meerkat)
Lineage: Eukaryota; Metazoa; Chordata; Mammalia; Carnivora; Herpestidae
Source: Ensembl